GAUGAACGCUGGCGGCGUGCCUAAUACAUGCAAGUCGAGCGAACAGAUAAGGAGCUUGCUCCUUUGACGUUAGCGGCGGACGGGUGAGUAACACGUGGAUAACCUACCUAUAAGACUGGGAUAAAUUCGGGAAACCGGAGCUAAUACCGGAUAACAUAUUGAACCGCAUGGUUCAAUAGUGAAAGGCGGCUUUGCUGUCACUUAUAGAUGGAUCCGCGCCGUAUUAGCUAGUUGGUAAGGUAACGGCUUACCAAGGCAACGAUACGUAGCCGACCUGAGAGGGUGAUCGGCCACACUGGAACUGAGACACGGUCCAGACUCCUACGGGAGGCAGCAGUAGGGAAUCUUCCGCAAUGGGCGAAAGCCUGACGGAGCAACGCCGCGUGAGUGAUGAAGGUCUUCGGAUCGUAAAACUCUGUUAUCAGGGAAGAACAAAUGUGUAAGUAACUGUGCACAUCUUGACGGUACCUGAUCAGAAAGCCACGGCUAACUACGUG
This 497-nucleotide ribosomal RNA is filed under the name uncultured bacterium. RNAcentral's name for it is "partial 16S ribosomal RNA". It matches the Rfam family "Bacterial small subunit ribosomal RNA", at positions 28 to 507 of the family's 1533-position model. The record is from RNAcentral.